Molecule: long non-coding RNA, 1629 nt
Organism: Manis pentadactyla (Chinese pangolin)
Lineage: Eukaryota; Metazoa; Chordata; Mammalia; Pholidota; Manidae
Exons: 3
Source: RefSeq, a predicted model, not a curated record
AGCCUCUCGCCUAUGGAGGUCUCAGUUCAUAACUUAGCCUUGCUUUGGCCACAAGAGAAAUUUACUUGGUUCGUUCUCUCCCUGCUUGGCCUCAUUAGAAAACCACCACAGCAUUUGGCUUGCUUGCGCUAACUGGCAUGUCUGCUGAAGAGGAGGCCAGGGGUUGAGUAAACAGGGCCCAGUUGAGGUGCGCCGGCUCUGCCGAUGGAAUCCUGCCGGCCACCUGCCUGGCCGAGAGCUUUCUGCAGGCCAACCACAUUAAUCCUUCUCUGUUGUGAACGUUAAAUCCACGUCAAAUUUUUGUUUUAUUUUAAAACUAAUUCAUUAGGUAUUUGCUCUUCGAAGUUGGAAUUGGUGAAGAUUUAAAACAGGAGGCUGAUCAAUGAUGGUACCCAGACAGGAUGGUGUCACAUUUUUAUGGCAACAGAGAUAUUUAUGGUAUAACUGACAAGCCAAAGCCAGUGACUAUAACACUAAGGUGAGAAGAAUUAGCCUUCUUGUGCUGUUCCUGUAGGUUCACCAUUGGCUGAACCCAACCGGAACCCAAAGGGUGUGGAAAUCCUGUUGAUGCAGUUGGUACAGGUCAGACUUCCAAGGCACAGAGCAGGGUGCAGAAGUACGGGGAGUAAGAUGGAAGAUGCAUUACAUGCAAUGAUAGCUUUCCUUCCAACAGAUUUUUCUUUUGCUCCACUGAAGGAAAUGAUUUCUAAAAGACAUACAUGAAAAGAGAGAUACAGGGUUUUUAUUUGAAUGGAAGUCUCAAUACAACAUUGCCAUUUAUUCUGAGGCAUUUAAUCACUUAAUGAUUUUUCAUUUUAAGAAAUAUUUCAGACAUAUAUAAGAUGAUUUACCUAGGGAGAACAGCCAUGUACCUAUCACCCAGCCUAAUAACUAAAACAUUAUGAAAAACAGAUUGAAGGCCCUCAGUAGUCUCCUCAUUCACAUUCCCUUCUUCCUCUGCAGAAGUAGCCAACAUGUGGAAUCUGGUGGCUGUCAUUCUCAUUCAUUUCUUUGAAAUGUUACUAUAUAUCUUUUCCCACCCAAACAAUAUUUAUAAUUGUUCAAAUGGUAAAUGUAUCAGUUUUGCAAGAUGAGUAAAUUUUAGAGAUCUGUAUAGCAUAGAGCCUAUAGUAUUGUCCACUUAGACGUUUGUUAAGAGGGUAAAUAUCCUGCUGUGCUCUCACCACAAAGAAGAAAGGAAGAAAGAAGGAAAGAAAUAAAGGACUUAAAGUUUGGGAGGUCAUGGACAUUAUCUAUUACUUUGAAUUGUAGUGGUGGUUUCACAGGUGUAUGUGUAUGUCCAAACUCACUAAAACGUGUACAUUAAAUUAUACCUCAAUAAAGCUGUUAAAAAUAUAUAACUGAUAUCACACAGCAUGUAUUUUUCUGUACCUUGAUAUAUUUUACACAACAUUUUUAUUUUGGGGGUUGUAUGCAGGUUGAUCCAUUUAGCACAAUGUUUUUUUUCAUUCACUUUCAUUGUUCUACAGUAUUCUAUGACUUGAUGCAAAUCCUCUCACUGUGUUCAACAUUAGAAUCCUAUGAUUUUAAAAAUCAGGAUGUUUACUGCAGCUAUGUUUUUUUUUGAAUUGGUUCAUUUCUUCACCAGGUUGUGUUGUGCGGUAGUGG